CGAGGCGUUUACCAGAACACGUCCGACGUGAGGAUGAAAGCUGGGGGAGCAAACCGGAUUAGAUACCCGGGUAGUCCCAGCUGUAAACUAUGCAAACUCGGUGAUGCAUUGGCUUGAUGCUAAUGCAGUGCCGCAGGGAAGCCGUUAAGUUUGCCGCCUGGGAAGUACGUACGCAAGUAUGAAACUUAAAGGAAUUGGCGGGGGAGCACCACAAGGGGUGAAGCCUGUGGUUCAAUUGGAGUCAACGCCAGAAAUCUUACCCGGAGAGACAGCAGAAUGAAGGUCAAGCUGAAGACUUUACCAGACAAGCUGAGAGGUGGUGCAUGGCCGUCGCCAGCUCGUGCCGUGAGAUGUCCUGUUAAGUCAGGUAACGAGCGAGAUCCCUGCCUCUAGUUGCCACCAUUACUCUCAGGAGUAGCGGGGCGAAUUAGCGGGACCGCCGUAGUUAAUACGGAGGAAGGAAGGGGCCACGGCAGGUCAGUAUGCCCCGAAACUCUGGGGCCACACGCGGGCUGCAAUGGUAACGACAAUGUGUUCCAAAUCCGAAAGGAGGAGGUAACCCAGAAACGUUACCACAGUUAUGACUGAGGGCUGCAACUCGCCCUCACGAAUAUGGAAUCCCUAGUAACUGCGUGUCAUUAUCGCGCGGUGAAUACGUCCCUGCUCCUUGCACACACCGCCCGUCGUUUCAUUGAAGUUUGCUUUUAGCGAGGUGACGUCUGAUUGGCGUUAUCGAACUUGA
RNAcentral lists this ribosomal RNA (742 nucleotides) under uncultured crenarchaeote. RNAcentral's name for it is "bacterial SSU rRNA". It matches the Rfam family "Archaeal small subunit ribosomal RNA", at positions 667 to 1412 of the family's 1478-position model. The record is from RNAcentral. Lineage: Archaea; Thermoproteati; Thermoproteota.